Molecule: long non-coding RNA, 366 nt
Filed under: Nicotiana benthamiana
Lineage: Eukaryota; Viridiplantae; Streptophyta; Magnoliopsida; Solanales; Solanaceae
Description: long non-coding RNA (NBEN_LNC034401)
Source: RNAcentral
AUUCACAUAUAUACAGGCUUACACAGAGAAAUGCCCCAAUCCUUUCUAAAAUCGAACAACUUCUAUUUCGCUUUGCAAACACACAAGGCAAGUUCUAGGUAUCGCAUGCAAGCACAGAAUGCAAGUAAUAACUCACACACACUUAGCAAACUCAUUCCGAAUCAAUUCAUCAACACACUCAUACGAGCGCUCAAGCAAGACAAAAUGUGCAAAAUUAAGGCAUAGAUAUACAAGUCCACAAACGAGCCUAGAUGUCACACUCUCAAGUUCGUUUUAGUUAUUUGCAGGUGUGAACAUUAGGUGGUUGCAUUCUAGCCUUCACCCAUUUUUGUCCUAUAAAUAUAAGAGAAAAAAAUCUACCUAACC